RNAcentral lists this long non-coding RNA (1499 nucleotides) under Cucumis sativus (cucumber). RNAcentral describes it as "long non-coding RNA (CSAT_LNC001742)". The record is from RNAcentral. Lineage: Eukaryota; Viridiplantae; Streptophyta; Magnoliopsida; Cucurbitales; Cucurbitaceae.
AAAUCACAGAUAACUACUAGGAGGCCUCACUCUGAGUAAUAUCAAAGUUUUUUCCCACAAGAACCGCUCGGAGAUGCCCGGACUCAGUUUUUAUUUUCGUCCCAAUACUUUUCUUCCAAUGGACUAGUUGUGUUUCUUUGAUCUUGUGCAACCUCUUUAGGCCGAUGAUAGCCAGCGGAUAGGUGUGGAAACCCAUCUAUAUUGCACCCAGUACGACACAGAAAAAAAGCCCAGGGGCCUAGGGGUCGGGUGGGGCUCGUUCGGGUGCACAACGGUUGCGCCAAAAACGGUCCAAAAAUGGCCAAGGCUUUACCAUACGAAAAAUCGGUCCGAUUUUUAACCAUGUGAGAAACGUCCCGAAAAUUCACAGAUAACUACUAGGAGGCCUCACUCUGAGUAAUAUCAAAGUUUUUUCCCACAAGAACCGCUCGGAAUGCCCGGACUCAGUUUUAUUUUCGUCCCAAUACUUUUCUUCCAAUGACUAGUUUGUUUCUUUGAUCUUGUGCAACCUCUUUAGCCGAUGAUAGCCCGGAUAGGUGUGGAAACCCAUCUAUAUUGCACCCAGUACGACACAGAAAAAAAGCCCAGGGCCUAGGGUCGUGGGGCUCGUUCGGGUGCACAACGGUUGCGCCAAAAACGGUCCAAAAAUGGCCAAGGCUUUACCAUACGAAAAAUCGGCCGAUUUUUAACCAUGUGACAAACGUCCCGAAAUUCACAGAUAACUACUAGGAGGCCUCACUCUGAGUAAUAUCAAAGUUUUUUCCCACAAGAACCGCUCGGAGAUGCCCGGACUCAGUUUUUAUUUUCGUCCCAAUACUUUUCUUCCAAUGACUAGUUGUGUUUCUUUGAUCUUGUGCAACCUCUUUAGGCCGAUGAUAGCCCCGGAUAGUGUGGAAACCCAUCUAUAUUGCACCCAGUACGACACAGAAAAAAAGCCCAGGGCCUAGGGUCGGGUGGGGCUCGUUCGGGGUGCACAACGGUUGCGCCAAAAAACGUCCAAAAAUGGCCAAGCUUUACCAUACGAAAAAUCGGUCCGAUUUUUAACCAUGUGAGAAACGUCCCGAAAAUUCACAGAUAACUACUAGGAGGCCUCACUCUGAGUAAUAUCAAAGUUUUUCCCACAAGAACCGCUCGGAGAUGCCCGACUCAGUUUUUUAUUUUCGUCCCAAUACUUUCUUCCAAUGGACUAGUUGUGUUUCUUUGAUCUUGUGCAACCUCUUUAGGCCGAUGAUAGCCCGCGGAUAGUGUGAAACCCAUCUAUAUUGCACCCAGUACGACACAGAAAAAAAGCCCAGGCCUAGGGGUCGGGUGGGCUCGUUCGGGGUGCACAACGGUUGCGCCAAAAACGGUCCAAAAAUGGCCAAGGCUUUACCAUACGAAAAAUCGGCCGAUUUUUAACCAUGUGAGAAACGUCCCGAAAAUUCACAGAUAACUACUAGGAGGCCUCACUCUGAGUAAUAUCAAAGUUUUUUCCCACAAGAACCGCUCGGAGAUGCCCG